Molecule: ribosomal RNA, 492 nt
Filed under: uncultured bacterium
Lineage: Bacteria
Description: partial 16S ribosomal RNA
Rfam family: Bacterial small subunit ribosomal RNA
Source: RNAcentral
AGUGAACGCUGGCGGUAGGCCUAACACAUGCAAGUCGAACGGCAGCACAGUAAGAGCUUGCUCUUACGGGUGGCGAGUGGCGGACGGGUGAGGCAUACAUCGGAAUCUACUUUUUCGUGGGGGAUAACGUAGGGAAACUUACGCUAAUACCGCAUACGACCUACGGGUGAAAGCAGGGGAUCUUCGGACCUUGCGCGAUUGAAUGAGCCGAUGUCGGAUUAGCUAGUUGGCUGGGUAAAGGCCCACCAAGGCGACGAUCCGUAGCUGGUCUGAGAGGAUGAUCAGCCACACUGGAACUGAGACACGGUCCAGACUCCUACGGGAGGCAGCAGUGGGGAAUAUUGGACAAUGGGCGCAAGCCUUAUCCAGCCAUACCGCGUGGGUGAAGAAGGCCUUCGGGUUGUAAAGCCCUUUUGUUUGGAAAGAAAAGCAGCAGGUUAAUACCCCGCUGUUCUGACGGUACCCAAAGAAUAAGCACCGGCUAACUUCGUG